UGGACAUAUUACUGUAUUCGAUUGUAUUCACGGCGUGAAACAGGGGAUUACACUGUUUUUAAACGGAAAGUGAAUCAAUUAACAUAAUAGACACCU
Molecule: microRNA precursor, 96 nt
Organism: Nicotiana attenuata
Lineage: Eukaryota; Viridiplantae; Streptophyta; Magnoliopsida; Solanales; Solanaceae
Rfam family: MIR6152 microRNA precursor family
Source: Rfam